GGAGAGAAAUUAAAGCUUAGAGAAUAACGUAUCUGGAGUCCCCUUUUUAUAGGCAGAGGGUGCGAUAGAUGAUAGCGAUGUUUGUAACCGUCUGGCAGCGGGCCGUACGGAGCCAAGAGGAGUCUGUUAUGGAGGGUAGUGGAGUGGAGUCGUGGCCAUCACUGUGACCUGCCACGUGGAGUCUGUCAUGGGGAGUGAAGCGACAUCCGUUGU
RNAcentral lists this long non-coding RNA (213 nucleotides) under Elaeis guineensis (African oil palm). RNAcentral describes it as "long non-coding RNA (EGUI_LNC082559)". The record is from RNAcentral. Lineage: Eukaryota; Viridiplantae; Streptophyta; Magnoliopsida; Arecales; Arecaceae.